AAAAUUAUGAUCAGGGGUGUACAUACUAGGGUUGGGAAUCUUAGUUCUAAGACCGAUACGAUACGCAUCUCCGAUCCCAUAUGUUACAGAUACGUGUGUGGCACCUCGCGAUACGAUACGAUUCACACCUAAAUCAUGAUACAGAGCGAUUGAGCUCUUUCUGAUUCAACACAUUCAUUCUGGGAAAAAAUA
Long non-coding RNA from Sphaeramia orbicularis (orbiculate cardinalfish), 192 nucleotides. RefSeq lists it as uncharacterized. The record is from RefSeq and is a predicted model, not a curated record. NCBI's taxonomy places the organism in Eukaryota, Metazoa, Chordata, Actinopteri, Kurtiformes, Apogonidae. The transcript is spliced from 3 exons.